UAGGGAAUCUUCGGCAAUGGACGAAAGUCUGACCGAGCAACGCCGCGUGAGUGAAGAAGGUUUUCGGAUCGUAAAACUCUGUUGGUAGAGAAGAACGUUGGUGAGAGUGGAAAGCUCAUCAAGUGACGGUAACUACCCAGAAAGGGACGGCUAACUACUUGCCUG
Molecule: ribosomal RNA, 165 nt
Filed under: uncultured bacterium
Lineage: Bacteria
Description: partial 16S rRNA
Rfam family: Bacterial small subunit ribosomal RNA
Source: RNAcentral